Molecule: ribosomal RNA, 309 nt
Filed under: uncultured eukaryote
Lineage: Eukaryota
Description: partial 18S ribosomal RNA
Rfam family: Eukaryotic small subunit ribosomal RNA
Source: RNAcentral
CCCUUAGAUGUUCUGGGCGGCCCGCGCACUACAAUGGCGUGUGCAGCGAGUGCCGAAGUAGAGUUUUCCGAGGUAUUCUUGCAAUGCUCGUUUUGAUGGGGAUAGACCCUUGCAACUGUUGGUUUUGAACGAGGAAUUCCUUGUAAGCAUGGUUUAUCAUCCGACGCUGAAUGCGUCCCUGUCCUUUGUACACACCGCCCGUCGCUCCUACCGAUGAGUCGUCCGGUGAAGUUCGUAGACCUCGUGAUCGCGGAUCACUGGGGGAAGCAAAAUGAACCUCGCGGUUUAGAGGAAGGAGAAGUCGUAACA